CGGUGGAGCAUGUGGUUUAAUUCGAAGCAACGCGAAGAACCUUACCAGGCCUUGACAUGCAGAGAACUUUCCAGAGAUGGAUUGGUGCCUUCGGGAACUCUGACACAGGUGCUGCAUGGCUGUCGUCAGCUCGUGUCGUGAGAUGUUGGGUUAAGUCCCGUAACGAGCGCAACCCUUGUCCUUAGUUACCAGCACGUUAUGGUGGGCACUCUAAGGAGACUGCCGGUGACAAACCGGAGGAAGGUGGGGAUGACGUCAAGUCAUCAUGGCCUUACGACCAGGGCUACACACGUACUACAAUGGCCGAUACAAAGGGCAGCGACACUGCGAGGUGAAGCCAAUCCCGUAAAAUCGGUCUCAGUCCGGAUUGGAGUCUGCAACUCGACUCCAUGAAGUUGGAAUCGCUAGUAAUCGUGGAUCAGCAUGCCACGGUGAAUACGUUCCCGGGCCUU
RNAcentral lists this ribosomal RNA (452 nucleotides) under uncultured Pseudomonas sp. RNAcentral's name for it is "bacterial SSU rRNA". It matches the Rfam family "Bacterial small subunit ribosomal RNA", at positions 930 to 1382 of the family's 1533-position model. Lineage: Bacteria; Pseudomonadati; Pseudomonadota; Gammaproteobacteria; Pseudomonadales; Pseudomonadaceae. The record is from RNAcentral.